AAGAAUUUAAGUUAAUUCAAACUAUUGACCUUCAAAGUCAAACAUAGGCCAUUAAUCCUAAUUCUUA
RNAcentral lists this transfer RNA (67 nucleotides) under Pityophthorus pubescens. Its description in RNAcentral is "tRNA-Trp". Lineage: Eukaryota; Metazoa; Arthropoda; Insecta; Coleoptera; Curculionidae. The record is from RNAcentral.